RNAcentral lists this ribosomal RNA (468 nucleotides) under uncultured bacterium. Its description in RNAcentral is "partial 16S ribosomal RNA". It matches the Rfam family "Bacterial small subunit ribosomal RNA", at positions 28 to 507 of the family's 1533-position model. The record is from RNAcentral.
GACGAACGCUGGCGGCGUGCUUAACACAUGCAAGUCGAACGGAAAGGCCCUGCUUUUGUGGGGUGCUCGAGUGGCGAACGGGUGAGUAACACGUGAGUAACCUGCCCUUGACUUUGGGAUAACUUCAGGAAACUGGGGCUAAUACCGGAUAGGAGCUCCUGCUGCAUGGUGGGGGUUGGAAAGUUUCGGCGGUUGGGGAUGGACUCGCGGCUUAUCAGCUUGUUGGUGGGGUAGUGGCUUACCAAGGCUUUGACGGGUAGCCGGCCUGAGAGGGUGACCGGCCACAUGGGGACUGGGAUACGGCCCAGACUCCUACGGGAGGCAGAAGUGGGGAAUAUUGCACAAUGGGCGGAAGCCUGAUGCAGCAACGCCGCGUGCGGGAUGACGGCCUUCGGGUUGUAAACCGCUUUCGCCUGUGACGAAGCGUGAGUGACGGUAAUGGGUAAAGAAGCACCGGCUAACUACGUG